Molecule: unclassified non-coding RNA, 134 nt
Filed under: uncultured Lecanoromycetes
Lineage: Eukaryota; Fungi; Ascomycota; Lecanoromycetes
Description: sequence contains ITS1
Source: RNAcentral
UCGGGAAUGCCUUCGGGCGUAACCUGCAACCCAAUGUUUUAUAUUUCCUUGUUUCUUUGGCGGGCUCGGGCCCGUCAGAAGACAUCUCAAACUCAUCAUAAACGUGUCCUCUGAAUAACUACAAAAAUAAAGCA